This 699-nucleotide ribosomal RNA is filed under the name uncultured bacterium. RNAcentral describes it as "bacterial SSU rRNA". It matches the Rfam family "Bacterial small subunit ribosomal RNA", at positions 9 to 724 of the family's 1533-position model. The record is from RNAcentral.
GAGUUUGAUCCUGGCUCAGAAUCAACGCUGGCGGCGUGCCUAACACAUGCAAGUCGAACGAGAAAGUGGAGCAAUCCAUGAGUAAAGUGGCGACCGGGUGAGUAACACGUGACUAACCUACCUUUGAGUGGGGGAUAACAUCGGGAAACCGAUGCUAAUACCGCAUCACAUCGGCGUUUCUUAAGAAGUGCCGAUCAAAGCAACAAUGCGCUUAAAGAGGGGGUCGCGGCUGAUUAGCUAGUUGGCGGGGUAACGGCCCACCAAGGCGAAGAUCGGUAUCCGGCCUGAGAGGGCGCACGGACACACUGGAACUGAAACACGGUCCAGACUCCUACGGGAGGCAGCAGUGGGGAAUUUUGCGCAAUGGGGGAAACCCUGACGCAGCAACGCCGCGUGGAGGAUGAAGUCCCUUGGGACGUAAACUCCUUUCGACCAAGACGAUAAUGACGGUACUGGUGGAAGAAGCACCGGCUAACUCUGUGCCAGCAGCCGCGGUAAUACAGAGGGUGCAAGCGUUGUUCGGAAUUAUUGGGCGUAAAGGGCGCGUAGGCGGCGCGACAAGUCACCUGUGAAAUCUCCGGGCUUAACUCGGAGCCUGCAGGCGAAACUGUCGUGCUGGAGUAUGGGAGAGGUGCGUGGAAUUCCCAGUGUAGCGGUGAAAUGCGUAGAUAUCGAGAGGAACACCUGUGGCGAAAGCGG